RNAcentral lists this ribosomal RNA (699 nucleotides) under Triticum aestivum (bread wheat). Its description in RNAcentral is "partial small subunit ribosomal RNA". The record is from RNAcentral. Lineage: Eukaryota; Viridiplantae; Streptophyta; Magnoliopsida; Poales; Poaceae.
AUAUAUGUGGAUGACAUAAUCUUUGGCUGCACCAACCAGAAGUACAGUGAUGAGUUUGGGUACAUGAUGCAAGAGCAAUAUCAAAUGUCCAUGAUGGGUGAGCUGAAGUUCUUCCUUGGUCUUCAAAUUCGUCAGCAACGAAAUGGCAUCUUCAUAUCUCAAGAAAAAUACCUCAAAGAUUGUCUGAAGAAGUUUGGAAUGGAAGACUGCAAAGGCUACACGACGCCAAUGCCAGCCAAACACCAUCUUGGUCCCGACGACAAUGGUAAAGAGUUCGAUCAAAAGGUAUAUCGCUCCAUGAUUGGUUCUUUGCUUUAUUUAUGUGCAUCUAGGUCAGAUAUUAUGCUUAGUGUUUGCAUGUGUGCUCGAUUCCAAGCGGCACCAAAGGAAUUGCAUCACUUAGAUGUGAAGCGAAUUCUUCGAUAUUUGGCUUACACCCCAACACUCAGAUUAUGGUAUCCCAAGGGCUCAAAAUUUGAUUUGGUUGGAUUCUCGGAUGCUGAUUAUGCUGGUGACAAGGUGGAUCGCAAGUCUACAUCAGGCACAUGUCAUUUUCUUGGUAGAUCACUUGUCUGUUGGUCUUCAAAGAAGCAGAACUGUGUAUCACUCUCAACUGCUGAAUCUGAAUACAUUGCUGCUGGAUCCUGUUGUGCUCAGCUUCUAUGGAUGAAGCAAACUCUCAAGGAUUAUGGCAUCAAC